Suricata suricatta (meerkat) is the source of this 108-nucleotide small nuclear RNA. The record is from Ensembl. NCBI's taxonomy places the organism in Eukaryota, Metazoa, Chordata, Mammalia, Carnivora, Herpestidae.
AUGCUUUCCUUCGAUAGCACAUGUACUAAAAUCAGAACAAUACAGAGAAAAUUAGCAUGGCCCCUGUGCAAGCAUGACAUACAAAUUUGUGAAGUGCUCCAUAUUUUG